RNAcentral lists this ribosomal RNA (497 nucleotides) under uncultured bacterium. RNAcentral's name for it is "partial 16S ribosomal RNA". It matches the Rfam family "Bacterial small subunit ribosomal RNA", at positions 28 to 507 of the family's 1533-position model. The record is from RNAcentral.
GACGAACGCUGGCGGCGUGCCUAAUACAUGCAAGUAGAACGCUGAAGAGAGGAGCUUGCUCUUCUUGGAUGAGUUGCGAACGGGUGAGUAACGCGUAGGUAACCUGCCUUGUAGCGGGGGAUAACUAUUGGAAACGAUAGCUAAUACCGCAUAACAAUGGAUGACACAUGUCAUUUAUUUGAAAGGGGCAAUUGCUCCACUACAAGAUGGACCUGCGUUGUAUUAGCUAGUAGGUGAGGUAAUGGCUCACCUAGGCGACGGUACAUAGCCGACCUGAGAGGGUGAUCGGCCACACUGGGACUGAGACACGGCCCAGACUCCUACGGGAGGCAGCAGUAGGGAAUCUUCGGCAAUGGGGGCAACCCUGACCGAGCAACGCCGCGUGAGUGAAGAAGGGUUUCGGAUCGUAAAGCUCUGUUGUAAGUCAAGAACGGGUGUGAGAGUGGAAAGUUCACACUGUGACGGUAGCUUACCAGAAAGGGACGGCUAACUACGUG